Molecule: ribosomal RNA, 407 nt
Filed under: uncultured bacterium
Lineage: Bacteria
Description: partial 16S ribosomal RNA
Rfam family: Bacterial small subunit ribosomal RNA
Source: RNAcentral
AUUGAACGCUGGCGGCGCGCUUAACACAUGCAAGUCGAGCGAAGCGGCGGACGGGUGAGUCACACGUGAGUAACCUGCCUUAGACAUUGGUAUAGCCUCGGGAAACCUGCAUUUAUACCAAAUGGUCUAUGAUGGACUCGAGUCCCAUUAGCUAGUUGGUGAGGUAACGGCGCACCAAGGGGACGAUGGGUAGCCGGCCUGAGAGGGUGAACGGACACAUUGGAGCUGAGAAACGGUCCAAACUCUACGGGAGGCGGCAGUGGGGGAUAUUGCAAAAUGGCGGGAACUCUGAUGGAGCGACGGCGGGUGAACUAAGAAGGCAUUCGAGUCGUAAAGUUGUUUUAUAUGGGAAGCGGUACAAUAAGAAAAAGCCCCGGCUAACUACGUGCCAGCAGCCGCGGUAAUUC